Molecule: ribosomal RNA, 256 nt
Filed under: uncultured bacterium
Lineage: Bacteria
Description: partial 16S ribosomal RNA
Rfam family: Bacterial small subunit ribosomal RNA
Source: RNAcentral
UACAGAGGUCUCAAGCGUUGUUCGGAUUCAUUGGGCGUAAAGGGCGCGUAGGCGGCGGGGUCAGUCGGGUGUGAAAUCUUGGGGCUUAACCCCGAAACGGCACUCGAAACUGCCCGGCUGGAGGGCCGGAGAGGAGAUCGGAAUUCACGGUGUAGCAGUGAAAUGCGUAGAGAUCGCGAGGAAGACCCGUGGCGAAGGCGGAUCUCUGGACGGCUAAAACUGACGCUGAGGCGCGAAGGCCAGGGGAGCAAACGGG